UACGUAGGGUGCGAGCGUUGUCCGGACUUACUGGGCGUAAAGGGCGCGUAGGCGGUCUUGUAAGUCUUGUGUGAAAUCCCUUGGCUUAACUGAGGAACUGCACGAGAUACUGCAAGACUUGAGAUCGGGAGAGGGAAGCGGAAUUCCGGGUGUAGCGGUGAAAUGCGUAGAUAUCCGGAGGAACACCGGUGGCGAAGGCGGCUUCCUGGACCGACACUGACGCUGAGGCGCGAAAGCUAGGGGAGCAAACGGG
This 253-nucleotide ribosomal RNA is filed under the name uncultured bacterium. Its description in RNAcentral is "partial 16S ribosomal RNA". It matches the Rfam family "Bacterial small subunit ribosomal RNA", at positions 524 to 776 of the family's 1533-position model. The record is from RNAcentral.